Non-coding RNA from Callithrix jacchus (white-tufted-ear marmoset), 1216 nucleotides. The record is from RefSeq and is a predicted model, not a curated record. NCBI's taxonomy places the organism in Eukaryota, Metazoa, Chordata, Mammalia, Primates, Cebidae.
UGCAGGCGCUCUCGGAGCUUACAAGUUAGAAAGUGUGAAUAUGGGAGUGUGGCUCUGUGCGUGCGUGAUGGUGAGGUCGGUGCAGCUCGUAAUAAAAAUGAAUUCGUAUAUUUCAUGGCAAGAGGGAAGGGGAGGGGUGACGGGGCUUUCUCAAAACGCUUUUCCCCCUCUCGCCAGAGUGCCAGAUAGAUUCGAGGAAGAAAUUGGGUGGCUGUGUGCUAGUGUGUGAUUGUGCGCGCCAGACAUGGCCAUGUGAGUUGGUUCAUUCUUGGUCCCGUGCCCCUUCUGUUGGGUAAAACUUGGAUCUGGCCCGAGGGUCUUGCUCUGCUGUCCAGGCUGGAGUGCUGUGGCAUGAUUUUGGCUCACUUCAGCUUCAACUGCACAGGCUCAAGUGAUCCUCCCACCUCAGACUCCCAAGUAGCUUGGACUACAGAGGGCCUAAUCAUGAGAUGAAGCGGAGAAAUAAUGAAGUGCUUAUGAACAUUAUGGAGACCAGAAAUUGCAGGAAAUCCAGAACAUCCAGAGGCUUGACAUUCACGGGGUGGCCCAGAAUUUAUGCUCUAAAUGCAGAGCAUCUCCAGAGACAUCCACAGGUCUGUCAUUAAGACAAUAUAUUAUCCUAAUCAGUACAACUACUAAUGGGGUGGAUGAUAUUUUAAUAUAUUUUAAGAGGAUGUAGAAGGAUCUUCUGGAGGUAAUUAUUUUAGAGAGAUGGCUAAUUAUCUCAUGUUUAAAGAUCUCCAGGAAAGAUGACUUUAUUAACCUUGAGCCUUACAUUUCUUUUUCUACAGUUUUUAGAAUAUAACCUGAAUAGUAGUGGCCACAUAUAAUGCCUCCCAGGAUGACAUUAAAUCACAUUUCUCCCAGGAUGACAUUUGUUUGCUCAUAAUGUAUAACCAAGGAUACACACACACACACACACACGCACACACCAGAGCUUAAGAUCCACAUGGAAUAACAGACUUCUUGUUCUGAGUUGAGUUGAUAUCAUUUCAUUCUAAAGCAGAGAGAUUUGAUGGUUUUGAGAUCUUGAUGUUUUAGGUAGUCCAUCACAGCUUUGUGCCGGGUAAGUGUAUUAUUUGCUUUAUGAAAUACUAGAAAUACCUUAUGGGUCUUCAGUUUUUUCCCUAUGAAUCCUUAGAUGUCCUGGGAUCUGAGGCUGAAACCCACUGGUUUACAGAAUGGAAACAAUGGAGUCACUGCUUGUACCUUAUGG